UCCUACUUGACAGAGUAUUUAUAUACAUGA
RNAcentral lists this non-coding RNA (30 nucleotides) under Mus musculus (house mouse). Lineage: Eukaryota; Metazoa; Chordata; Mammalia; Rodentia; Muridae. The record is from RNAcentral.